RNAcentral lists this non-coding RNA (26 nucleotides) under Mus musculus (house mouse). Lineage: Eukaryota; Metazoa; Chordata; Mammalia; Rodentia; Muridae. The record is from RNAcentral.
UGAAUGCCUGAUCUUCCUGCCUCUGU